Molecule: long non-coding RNA, 2591 nt
Organism: Patella vulgata (common limpet)
Lineage: Eukaryota; Metazoa; Mollusca; Gastropoda; Patellidae
Exons: 3
Source: RefSeq, a predicted model, not a curated record
CGGGGCGACCUAUGAUUGGUCAGCAAUGUAUCAGAUUCCAUACCGGGGGGUGGGGAUGAAAAAACUGUUGUAGUGUUACAUAAUCAGAGUAUUUCAACUUACUUAUCCUGUGGAAAUACAGCUAUAUAGGAGAUAUUUUGAAAUUCAUAGGCACUGCAUGUUUCAACAUUUUAGAUUUGACCACAAUCUGGCACUUGAAACUACGUUAACAGAGAAAAACUGUGUGGUUUUCGAUGAAAGUGUUAAAAGUCUAAUAUUGCAUCAUGAUUACUGUUUUAAAGUAUUUUCGUGUUUGAUUUAUAUUGAAUUCAUCUCAUCUUUUUGAAGAAUGCAUUUAUGUUCAAAAAUAAAAAUGUUCUGUGGAAUUCAAAAUUCAUGUGCUUUUAAAUUAUCAGAUUCCAAACUGGGGGGUAGGGAUGAAAAAGCUGUUGUAGUGUUACAUAAUCAGAUUAUUUCAACUUACUUAUCCUAUGGAAAUACAGCUAUAUAGGAGAUAUUUUAAAAUUGAUAGGCACUGCAUGUUUCAACAUUUUAGAUUUGACCACAAUUUGGCACUUGAAACUACGUUAACAGAGAAAAACUGUGUGGUUUUCGAUGAAAGUGUUAAAAAGUCUAAUAUUGCAUCAUGAUUACUGUUUUAAAGUAUUUUCGUGUUUGAUUUAUAUUGAAUUGUAUUUAGAAAACGGAGGAAACCGAAUGACCCAGCGAAAAAACUCAAGAGAUUGGACAGGCGACUCUACUCCUUGAAAUUGAAACCAUGCCACUUAACACAAUGACAGACCCUGUGAUUUCAUGCGCAUGCAUUACCUACUAGACCAUUCCCCCCAGCCCCACCCCAUAUCGAAAAAAAGUAUGACUUAUUUCAAAUAUGAUAUUUACAUAUAAAGAAAGUAGAGAGACUUCAAUCUUACUAGAAAAAUACUAGAUUACCUGAAAUGAAAUGGGGUUUAAAGACAACGUCCUACUGGUCAGCUCCGACUGGUCUAAUGCAUUGUGCUAAGUGAAAAUGUUUGUCUGGGCAGCGACACUAUGGCCUACUCUCAUACUGAAUUCAAACUGCCAAGAGAACUUUUAUGUGUAUGCCAAUGUGUACAUUGGAUCUCAGGGGAAACCACUCUGCAAAAUCAAGAUGAGCUUUCUCGGUCAACCCCAAGAGAUAACCUGUGGCCUCCAUGCUAGUGUGCCAGCACCUAAUUUACUCAGUCACCAUGGCCGUCUUCUAAUUACUGCGACAGUGAAACCAUGUGACAAACAAGGAUUAUUAAGAUAGACUUUUACGGCUUGGUAGUUCCUUGGGAUUAAAACUUUUGAUACAUAUAGAUACAUUAGUUUCAAUUUCAUAUCACACAGUUUGUAUAUAUGGUAAGGUAGCUUUAAUCGUAAAUUACAUAUCAUGUAUUUAUUUUUUCAGUUUCAAUAUUGGAUGUAUAUGCAAAUCACCCAGAAAAAGAUCAUGUAAUAACAAAAGAAAUUAUAAAAGAAAAAAAGGAAGAAGAAAUGGCUGGAAAAAAUGACGAUAGAACACCUUUUUCUUGUUACCCACCUCGGAAGAUCAAGUUGGAAAGGGCUAUUGAUAUUGUGGAGACGUUUUCUCACAGAUCUUGCUUAUCAGACAAAGACUAUGCUGGAACACCAUUGAAAGAGUAUUUGCUGUAUGAUAACAACAAGAAAACCCAAGCAUCAAUUUAUUUUAUACUUCUGGGAAAGAAUGCAUUUGACCCAAUUUUUAAAUAUUUAUUUUUUGUUAUUAAUGUUAAAUUUUCUUCCAAAACACAAUUAGAUUUUAAUUCUCUUCAGAAAUGUAUGUAUAAUAUAGCAAGUAAAGUGGCAUAUAAAUCACUUAGAAUUUGGUCAGAAAUCAUAAAGUAUUUAAUAGGCAUUACUAGAAACCAAAUGUAGAUCAAAUACACCCAGAAUUACAAAAAACCUUGACCUACAUAAAGGUGACUUGACUUUCCCUUGCUUAUGAAAUGAAAUACGGUUUAGUAUCCUACUUUUCUGUGUUCUUAGAGUGAUUCUGCCCUACACCCUACUCUUAUAUCAAAUAUUUCAACUGCCAAGGGUUCUUUAACGGGAACCCGGGGGGGGGGGGCAAUGAUUAACACGCACACAUUUGAUCAGGAAGUCUGUCAUUGAGUCAAAUAAUUCAAUUGUCAAGGCUUCUUCUAAGUGAACGCAGUGGGGAUGGUUUCGAUUCCGGGAAUGGGGGAGGGGGUGGUGGAUGGCCGAAUGGUAAGCAUGUGCGUGCGGUAUCAUACGGCCUGUCAUUGAGUCAACUGGCGUGGUUUCGAAUCCCCGGUUGUACGUGACAAGGAGUAGGGUCGCCUGUCCAAUCUUGUGGGUUUUCUACGGGACCUACGGUUUCCUCCCACUGCUAAAGACCCCUAUGCGCAACGAAUUAUUGAAAUAAAAUUAAACCAUAUGUUAAUCCCGAAAUGACCUAGUUUGUGUCAAGUGGACGUUAAACCCCAUUUCUCUCUCUCUCUCUUUCGAUUCCGGGCUUGUACCCAAUUAUCCCUUGCCAUAUCCAAGACUACUGACAAGUGGGAACUAUGCCGGAAAAUCCAGUUGAAAUUUCUCGGCCAACACCU